GUUUUACCAAUUUGUGUCCUGCUUUUAGGCAAAUAGGAAGAGGCAGACAGCUUGCUCUUUCCCUCCCUCCCUUCCUUCCUUCCUCCCUCUCUUCCUCACUUCCCCCUCCCUUCCUCCCUCCCUUCCUCCCUUCCUUCCUUCCUCCCUUCCUUCCUCCCUUCCUUUCUCCCUUCCUCCCUUCCUCCCUCUCUCCCUCCUCCCUUCCUCCUUCCCUCCCUCUCUCCCUUCCUCCCUUCCUCCCUCUUUCUUUUCUUUCUUUCUGACAGAGUCAUGAAAGAAAGAGCCCAGGCUGGAGUGCAGUGGUAUGAUGAUAGCUCACUGUAGUCUCGACCUGCUGGGCUCAAGCGAUCCUCCCACCUCAGCCUCCCGAGUAGCUGGUACUGUAGGCACAUGCCACUAUGCCUGGCUAAUUUUUGUAUUUUUUUGUAGAGACAGGGUUUUGCCAUGUUGCUUAGGCUGGUCUUGAACUCCCGGGCUUGUGAUCCACCAAUCUUGGCCUCCCAAAGUGCCGGAAUUACAGCUGGAGCAAACCUCUCCUGGAUGCACAUCUCUGGAAGCCCCAGGUUCUGAAUGGCAGCUGGAUCUCAGGCUGAAGAGGAGGAAGAAGAGGAUGGGUUGGUCUUGAUGUCUCACGGGUGGCAGAGGCAGAAGAAAAUCCAUCUGGACAUGCACCAAGGAAAAGCCAAGUGAGCACACAGUGGGAUGGCAGCUGUCUGCAGCCUCCCUGGAAGAGGAUCCUCUGCAGCCUUCCUGGAAGAGGAUCCUCACAAGAACCCACCAUGUUGGCACCCUGACCUUGGACUUCCAGUCUCCAGAAUUAUGAGAAAAUAAACAUCUGUUGUUUAAGCCACUCAGUCUGUAGUGUUUGGUUAUGGCAUCCCAAG
Molecule: long non-coding RNA, 884 nt
Filed under: Homo sapiens (human)
Lineage: Eukaryota; Metazoa; Chordata; Mammalia; Primates; Hominidae
Description: HSALNT0088621
Source: RNAcentral